UACGUAGGUGGCAAGCGUUGUCCGGAUUUAUUGGGUUUAAAGGGUGCGUAGGUGGUUUUGUAAGUCAGUGGUGAAAGCCCGGAGCUCAACUCCGGAACUGCCAUUGAUACUGCUUAACUUGAAUCAACUUGAGGUGGAUGGAAUAUUACAUGUAGCGGUGAAAUGCUUAGAUAUGUAAUAGAACACCGAUUGCGAAGGCAGUUCACUAAGGUUGUAUUGACACUGAGGCACGAAAGCGUGGGGAUCAAACAGG
Molecule: ribosomal RNA, 253 nt
Filed under: uncultured bacterium
Lineage: Bacteria
Description: partial 16S ribosomal RNA
Rfam family: Bacterial small subunit ribosomal RNA
Source: RNAcentral